UACGGGGGGGGCAAGCGUUGUUCGGAAUUACUGGACGUAAAGGGCUCGUAGGUGGCCAACUAAGUCAGACGUGAAAUCCCUCGGCUUAACCGGGGAACUGCGUCUGAUACUGGAUGGCUUGAGUUCGGGAGAGGGAUGCGGAAUUCCAGGUGUAGCGGUGAAAUGCGUAGAUAUCUGGAGGAACACCGGUGGCGAAGGCGGCAUCCUGGACCGACACUGACACUGAGGAGCGAAAGCCAGGGGAGCAAACGGG
RNAcentral lists this ribosomal RNA (253 nucleotides) under uncultured bacterium. RNAcentral describes it as "partial 16S ribosomal RNA". It matches the Rfam family "Bacterial small subunit ribosomal RNA", at positions 524 to 776 of the family's 1533-position model. The record is from RNAcentral.